Molecule: long non-coding RNA, 3744 nt
Organism: Brassica napus (rape)
Lineage: Eukaryota; Viridiplantae; Streptophyta; Magnoliopsida; Brassicales; Brassicaceae
Exons: 2
Source: RefSeq, a predicted model, not a curated record
ACCCUUUUCAAUCGGACCCAAGAUUGUUCUGGUGUCAUAAUCAGGGGCGAAGCCACCGCUUAGACUAUGGUGGCAUGUGCACCCGUAGUUUUAUAAAUAUUAUACGUUUUGUAUGUAAAAUAUUAAAGAAAUCAGCUAGCUGAGUUGGUUUAGUAGAGUUAUGCACCCCUCUCAUGGCCUAAGAUCGAUUCCCCCGUAGGAUUUUAUUAACUUUUGCACCCAUAGCAAAUAAAAACUUUGUGAAAUAAUCAUGUCACAAAUUGGUUCUAUAAUGUGAUAAUUUUGGAUGAAAAGUCCACCAAUUCUUUUCGUUCAGGCGAGUGUUUGUCUAGUUGACGCGAUGCAAAACAGAAAAUUAUACUACACUAUGUGUAUUAGAAAAAUAAUAUAGAAUAAUUCAUUAAUACCAAUAAUAUAUCAACAAACAUAUUUGUCUUAACUGCAAAAAAGAAUAAAAAGAAAAAAGAGAGAGGAGAAAAAGAAAUGGGAAAAUGAGUAGAAAGAAAAGGAGAAGAAUUAAAAAGAAGGAGAAAAAAAAAUAAGAAAUGAAAAAAUAAACCUAUUAAUUUAUAGUAAUGAUGCAACAAUAAAACAUAACACAUGUUUAUUUAAUGUAAAAUUAUAUUUUUAUUUUACUUUUACCAAAUAGAAUAAAAAAAAAGUAUAUUUCAAAGCAAUGAUUAGUAAAACAUGCACAUUUUAAUUCAAUCGAUGAAUCGACUUCAAACCACUUGGAUUGGAAAGGUAACACAGUUCUAUCUCUUGUGUCUGAAAAUGAGCCCAAUCCUUUAGUGUAAAGUUUUUUUUUUCAAUUGCUAAACUUCUAAUGCAUAUGCACUAUUAUGUAUUUUUAAUUGUAUUUUUUUGCACCCAAAUUGGUUUUCUUUGUUUCAAAUUGAUCUAAAAUCUGAAAGGACCUGAUAAAGCAUUAAGAGACACUAAAAAUACUCUUUAAUUCGAUAGAAAAAAUCAAAACAAAAAUUAGAAACUAGUAAAAACACAGUUUAUCACAGUUGUAAUACCAUAAAAUAAUCAACAAAACUUGAUUGUAUUCAUUCCUAAAGUAAGGUAUUUAUAGAAUGAUGUUGAACCUAAUAUUAAUAGGAAUUAACUCAAAUGUUAUAUAAUAGACUACAACAUUGUAUAUUCCUUUAUCGUACUAAAAGACAGCACUCCGAAAGAAGUGGGCUACUCGAGUAUAAACCAGCUCCAAGUUUUAAAGAUAACUCUUCUCGUGAAAUCUGGUUUGUUUGCGGCAAAGAGGAUCGUCCACGAUCUUUCACCAUGUGACAUUGUCAAUCUUGUUUUGUCAAGAUCCUUUAAUAACAUCGCGAGCUUGAAAAAAGAAGCUUUAAAUUGGUGUAUAUAUUCCGGUUUAGUGGUUUGGUUAGUUAGUUGGUUUAGUUCCCCAAUUGUAUAGCUAACUAUAUAUAGUAUAUACUUGUAAAUAUUCAUUCUAAUCAAUAAGAGAUAUUUUGAUAACAAACUUUCGUCACUCUCUCUCUCUCUCUCAUACCAUAUUACCAUCAAGCUUCAGAGAGAGAGUGAAGAAAGUUUGUUAUCAAAAUAUCUUUUAUUGAUUAAAAUGAACAUUUACAAUUAUAUAUAGUUAGCUAUACAAGUAGAGAAUUAAACCAACCUAAACCAAACCAUUAAACGGGAAUACAUACACCAAUAUUUUAUAAUAAUUAAAGCUUUGUAAUAGUUAGAUAUAUGUACACAAAUAUAUAAUAGUUAAAGUUUCGUAACAGUUAGAUAUAUAUGUGUGUGUGUCUGUAUAAGGGAGAUUACACACGUAAAGCUUCAAAUAAUUUAAUUAGAAUGUUUGAGCUUUGCUCUGUUUUAGGGUAGAGUUUACCCAAAACCGUAAGAGUUUACCAAGUAUUAUGUAGCAAACUGAUAACAAAUAUCCAUGUUGCAAUAAAACGGGGGCAUAUUUAUAAAGCGUAAGAGUUUAUACAAGAAGGAGAGGAGCCCAAAGGCUAAAUGAGACUGAAGUAGAGGAGUGAUUAGGUGGCAAAAUCCUCGUUAUAAACUUACAAUAAUACAAUAAUAGCUACAUAACUAGAGCAUUGGUACUGCAUAGUUGGCAUAAUCGAGAUGACAUAUAACUUUGGGAGAUUACUGUAGCAAAACUUGAAAAUCCUUUUGCAUACAAACUCUCACAUUACACCCAGUAGGUUUCAUAUGAGCAGAGAAGAUUUUCUUCAGAAACUUUGAAAGUAUCAACCAGCCUUGGAAAGUAUCCUUUCAACUAGGUACAUUGGUUCAUUCUCAUUAACGAGUGCAUGCACUAAAAGCCACGAGAGGCGAAUGUAUAUAGUAACUUCAUUGCGCAAAAAAAGAGAGAAAUGUGGUACAUGGAAAAGACCGGACAUAAUCAAAGUCAAUAUCAUUUUUAUUCAAACGUUUAUUCAUUUGAGUUUAACUAAACAUGAACUAAGAUAAAAGAUCUUGAAGCAAGGUUAUAUAUGAUGAAAUAAGUUCUAGAAGAGCCAAUGUUUCCUUGAAUAACAAGGUUAUAGUACUUUCCAUAUAUCAACCCUAGUAGCUAUAUAUAAACAACAAGAUUUUGACAUGUGUUUUAAACAAAAACGCAGAAUUAUUUUUUUGGUAACAAAUUGUAAAUUUUUAUGUUUCUUUAUUUGUAGAUAUAAUAUAGUUGUAAAUUUAAAAGUUUGAGAUAUUUUGACCAUUUUAUAUUUUGUAUAAUUAUAUUACAUAGUAAAACAGGAAAUAUUCAUUUAAAAAUAUCAUUUAACAUCUAUCUAUCUAUUUAUUUAUUUACUUAUAUAUUUAAAGUUAUGUUUUUUCUUUUCUCAGCCCACCACGUCAUCAAGCCGAUUAACCUCAUUUCAACACCUGUCCAUUUGAUAAAAUGUUUAGUUUCAUUAACGUUCGGCUAUCUAGAGGUGAAGCUGACAUUUGUUUUAGGAUUUAUCCAUUUCAACUGACAUUUCAACAUUUGUUUUAACGUUCGGCUAUCUAGAGGUGAAGCUGACAUUUGUCCAUUUCAACACCCGUUAGGCACAUUCACUUUCUAGAGGUGAAGCUGACAUUUGUUUUAGGAUUUAUCGUCGUCUCCCAAAGGAGACUAACUCCAAAUACCCCAUACCCUCUUAAAACGAUUCCCACUACCCCUUUCUAUUCACACUACCUUUUUAUACGUGCAUUCCUAAAUUUAGCCUUCCCUUUACAUUUAACUCUCCAAUUAGAUAAAUUUCCAUAAAUCAGAUCUCCAACCACCCGACCCCACAAACAACUUUAACCAAUUAAAUCACUCAACCCAUUCUCUUUCUUCUUCCCCAAACUCUCGUUUGUUAUCAUCCUCCAUUGACAAAAUUUGAAGCUCAAAAAGAAGGAAAAAAUGCAAAAUCCACAUUGCACAAUCAUUUGUUUUGAUUAUGAGAGAUAUUAUAUAAAUGAUGUGGCUGAAAUAAAAUGGAUCGCAUUUGCUGUACUACUUAGAACUCAGUGGGCGAUGAUGAUGAAGGAAGAGAUGAAAUUCACACGAUUGUGUUAAAGAAAUUAGUGGAGAAAGUCACUUACUCUGGUUUGGUUGACCGCAUUUGCAGUACUACUUAGAACUAAUAUGUGUAAUCUAGAGUACUACUUCUUCUUUGAACUACUAUUUGUAUUAUGCAUGUUUCUAAAAACUUAUAUUUUCGUCUUAUUAUUUGUUUUUAUCAGAUAUAACUUUUAUUGGUUGUAUAUAUAUGUCUAAAUAUGUGUUUAUUUAUCAAA